This 1340-nucleotide unclassified non-coding RNA is filed under the name Hevea brasiliensis (rubber tree). Lineage: Eukaryota; Viridiplantae; Streptophyta; Magnoliopsida; Malpighiales; Euphorbiaceae. The record is from RNAcentral.
GAACAAUAUUUGUUUUAUUUAGUUCUUUCAACAUAUGCCUUGAAACAAAAAAACUUGUCACAGCUUGACACAAAUCUUCCUUGAUGAUAUCCCAAUUUUGCUGGUAAAACAAACUAGGAAAACCAUCUGGUCCUGGCGCCUUCUUUCCUCCCAAAUCAAAAACAGCAACUUUGAUUUCCUCUUCCGAAAUUGGGGUCAAUAGAUGCUCAUUCAACUCUUGAGGAACAAUGGUUGGAAGUACAGCUGCAACUUCGUCAUCCUCAACAGUACUUGAGCUUUUAUAGACUCUGUGAAAGAAGCCAGAUAUCUCAUUUGUGAUUCCUACUUCAGACUCAAUCCACUGCCCAUUGCCACUCUUCAAUUUCACAAUAGCGUUUCUAUGACGCCUUUGAAUAGUAGAAAGGUGGAAAAAUCUUGAGUUUCUGUCUCCUUCCUUUAACCAAUUGAUUCUAGACCGCUGACUCCAGUGUGCUUCAUCUUGUCUCCACAAAUCAUUAAGCCUCUUCAAAAGUUAUAUCUCAGUAACUUUUUGCUAAGCUUCUGCAGGUUUGUUAUAAAUGCCUUCCAAUUCAUUUUUUAUCUGUUGCAUCUCUAUUUGAGUACCUCUGAAAUGUAUCCGACUCCAUUGGCUUAAUGCCUUUCUACAACUUUUCAAUUUGGCAUUAAAACAAAACAUUGGUGACCCUUUGAUUUGCUUGUUCCAUGCCGAAGCUACGACUGAUGAACAAUCUCUGUGCUGGAGCUAUUUAGAUUCGAAACGGAAUAAGAAAUUAUCGCUUGACAAUUCUACCUUCUAACAAAAGCACCAAUGGCCGAUGGUCCGAUCCUAUCAUGGCUUCAUGUAAUAAAUACGCCUUAGGAAAGGCUUCUCUCCACUCAAUAGAGGCAAGGGCACGAUCAAGGCGUUCUAGAAUUGCAUUUUCCCCUAACUGCUUGUUAAACCAUGUAUAGCAAGGGCCCUUAAAUUCCAAAUCGACUAUCUGACAAUGAUCAACAAAAGCAGCCAUAUAUCUUACUUGAGAAGAAGUUACCCUUUUUCCACCCAAUUUCUCUACUUGAGAAAUUAUAGCAUUAAAAUCUCCAAUGCAUAACCAAGAUUCAGGUUGACAAGGGUGAAGAGCUUGCAUAUUCUCCCAAAAAGAGGCUCGAUGAGCGAUGUCUAGACUGCCAUAAACAAAAGUGAAAUGGCAUAGGCAAUUAUGAGUGACCAGAUUAAUUACUGUAUCCACAAAAUUAAAAUUUGCCUGUAAGAUGGAUAUAUCAACACUAUCAAUCCACCAUAAUGCUAAGCCACCUGCCAAACCAACCGGAUCCACAUAAAAUGCUUUGUCGAAACCCAA